This 497-nucleotide ribosomal RNA is filed under the name uncultured bacterium. Its description in RNAcentral is "partial 16S ribosomal RNA". It matches the Rfam family "Bacterial small subunit ribosomal RNA", at positions 28 to 507 of the family's 1533-position model. The record is from RNAcentral.
GAUGAACGCUGGCGGCGUGCCUAAUACAUGCAAGUCGAGCGAACGGACGAGAAGCUUGCUUCUCUGAUGUUAGCGGCGGACGGGUGAGUAACACGUGGAUAACCUACCUAUAAGACUGGGAUAACUUCGGGAAACCGUAGCUAAUACCGGAUAAUAUUUUGAACCGCAUGGUUCAAAAGUGAAAGACGGUCUUGCUGUCACUUAUAGAUGGAUCCGCGCUGCAUUAGCUAGUUGGUAAGGUAACGGCUUACCAAGGCAACGAUGCAUAGCCGACCUGAGAGGGUGAUCGGCCACACUGGAACUGAGACACGGUCCAGACUCCUACGGGAGGCAGCAGUAGGGAAUCUUCCGCAAUGGGCGCAAGCCUGACGGAGCAACGCCGCGUGAGUGAUGAAGGUCUUCGGAUCGUAAAACUCUGUUAUUCGGGAAGAACAUAUGUGUAAGUAACUGUGCACAUCUUGACGGUACCUAAUCAGAAAGCCACGGCUAACUACGUG